RNAcentral lists this ribosomal RNA (995 nucleotides) under uncultured bacterium. Its description in RNAcentral is "bacterial SSU rRNA". It matches the Rfam family "Bacterial small subunit ribosomal RNA", at positions 355 to 1375 of the family's 1533-position model. The record is from RNAcentral.
UGGGGGAUAUUGCACAAUGGGGGAAACCCUGAUGCAGCGACGCCGCGUGGAGGAAGAAGGUUUUCGGAUUGUAAACUCCUGUCGUUAGGGACGAUAAUGACGGUACCUAACAAGAAAGCACCGGCUAACUACGUGCCAGCAGCCGCGGUAAAACGUAGGGUGCAAGCGUUGUCCGGAAUUACUGGGUGUAAAGGGAGCGCAGGCGGACCGGCAAGUUGGAAGUGAAAACUAUGGGCUCAACUCAUAAAUUGCUUUCAAAACUGCUGUUCUUGAGUGAAGUAGAGGUAAGCGGAAUUCCUGGUGUAGCGGUGAAAUGCGUAGAGAUCAGGAGGAACAUCGGUGGCGAAGGCGGCUUACUGGGCUUUUACUGACGCUGAGGCUCGAAAGCGUGGGGAGCAAACAGGAUUAGAUACCCUGGUAGUCCACGCUGUAAACGAUGAUUACUAGGUGUGGGGGGAUUGACCCCUUCCGUGCCGCAGUUAACACAAUAAGUAAUCCACCUGGGGAGUACGACCGCAAGGUUGAAACUCAAAGGAAUUGACGGGGGCCCGCACAAGCAGUGGAGUAUGUGGUUUAAUUCGAAGCAACGCGAAGAACCUUACCAGGUCUUGACAUCGAGUGACGUAUCCAGAGAUGGAUAUUUCCUUCGGGACACAAAGACAGGUGGUGCAUGGUUGUCGUCAGCUCGUGUCGUGAGAUGUUGGGUUAAGUCCCGCAACGAGCGCAACCCUUAUCAUUAGUUGCUACGCAAGAGCACUCUAAUGAGACUGCCGUUGACAAAACGGAGGAAGGUGGGGAUGACGUCAAAUCAUCAUGCCCCUUAUGACCUGGGCUACACACGUACUACAAUGGCGAUCAAACAGAGGGAAGCAAGACAGCGAUGUGGAGCCAAUCCCAAAAAAUCGCCCCAGUUCAGAUUGCAGGCUGCAACUCGCCUGCAUGAAGUCGGAAUUGCUAGUAAUCGCAGAUCAGCAUGCUGCGGUGAAUACGUUCCC